UGGGGAAUAUUGCACAAUGGGCGGAAGCCUGAUGCAGCGACGCCGCGUGGGGGAUGAAGGCCUUCGGGUUGUAAACUCCUUUCGACAGGGACGAAGCUUUUGUGACGGUACCUGUAUAAGAAGCACCGGCUAACUACGUGCCAGCAGCCGCGGUAAUACGUAGGGUGCGAGCGUUGUCCGGAAUUACUGGGCGUAAAGAGCUCGUAGGUGGUUUGUCGCGUCGUCUGUGAAAUUCCGGGGCUUAACUCCGGGCGUGCAGGCGAUACGGGCUGACUUGCGUGCUGUAGGGGAGACUGGAAUUCCUGGUGUAGCGGUGAAAUGCGCAGAUAUCAGGAGGAACCCCGAUGGCGAAGGCAGGUCUCUGGGCAGUAACUGACGCUGAGGAGCGAAAGCAUGGGUAGCGAACAGG
Molecule: ribosomal RNA, 409 nt
Filed under: Actinomycetes bacterium
Lineage: Bacteria; Bacillati; Actinomycetota; Actinomycetes
Description: Actinobacteria bacterium partial 16S ribosomal RNA
Rfam family: Bacterial small subunit ribosomal RNA
Source: RNAcentral